RNAcentral lists this long non-coding RNA (396 nucleotides) under Neogobius melanostomus (round goby). Its description in RNAcentral is "lncRNA (ENSNMLG00000018496.1)". Lineage: Eukaryota; Metazoa; Chordata; Actinopteri; Gobiiformes; Gobiidae. The record is from RNAcentral.
UCGCCUGAAUGAUACGAUACAAAGUCUUUGUGUUCAGUAAAACCGUUUUAAUUCUCUUUCAGAUUGAGUGAACAUUACUUUCUGCUCUGAGAGACUUUAGUGAGUCGUUUUAUCGUGAUCCACAAUGACGCCUGUGGUGCUGCUCCUGUUUCUGGCUCCUCUGUUGAGCUGCUGCAGAGCGGAGGACAAACCUGUCGACUGCAGCGACAUCUUUAAACAAAACCCAAGCAGCGCCAGCGGAGUCUACUCCAUCUAUCCGUUCAGUGAGAGAUUCUCUGUCCAGGCCUAUUGUGACAGGGAAACAGACGGAGGAGGUUGGACAGUGAGUAUUUUCACUAAACUUUAGACCAGUUUGGACCAGGGAACUAGGUGGUGCUCACAUCCUAAAAUUACCAA